RNAcentral lists this ribosomal RNA (268 nucleotides) under uncultured bacterium. RNAcentral's name for it is "partial 16S ribosomal RNA". It matches the Rfam family "Bacterial small subunit ribosomal RNA", at positions 793 to 1055 of the family's 1533-position model. The record is from RNAcentral.
GUCCUAGCCGUAAACGGUGCACGUUUGCUGUAAAAGGAAUCGACCCCUUUUGUGGCGAAGCUAACGCGUUAAACGUGCCGCCUGGGAAGUACGGUCGCAAGAUUAAAACUCAAAGAAAUUGACGGGGGCCUGCACAAGCGGUGGAGUAUGUGGCUUAAUUCGAUGCAACGCGAAGAACCUUACCUGGCCUUGACAUGUAUCUAGUAGAAUGGUGAAAGCCUGACGAGAUAGCAAAUAUCAGGAUACACAGGUGCUGCAUGGCUGUCGU